AAUCAACGCUGGCGGCGUGCCUCAGACAUGCAAGUCGAACGAUUAAACUUUCCUUCGGGAAAGAUAUAAAGUGGCGCACGGGUGAGUAACACGUAGGUAAUCUACCUUUGAGUGGGGAAUAACGUUCGGAAACGAACGCUAAUACCGCAUAAUGCAGCGGCACCGCAAGGUGACAGUUGUUAAAGGAGCAAUUCGCUUAAAGAGGAGCCUGCGGCAGAUUAGCUAGUUGGAAGGUAAUGGCUUACCAAGGCUACGAUCUGUAACCGACCUGAGAGGGUGGUCGGUCACACUGACACUGAAUAACGGGUCAGACUCCUACGGGAGGCAGCAGUCGGGAAUUUUGGGCAAUGGGCGAAAGCCUGACCCAGCAACGCCGCGUGAAGGAUGAAGUCUCUCGGGAUGUAAACUUCGUAAGAAUAGGAAGAAUAAAU
RNAcentral lists this ribosomal RNA (431 nucleotides) under uncultured bacterium. RNAcentral's name for it is "bacterial SSU rRNA". It matches the Rfam family "Bacterial small subunit ribosomal RNA", at positions 32 to 454 of the family's 1533-position model. The record is from RNAcentral.